AGUGAACGCUGGCGGUAGGCCUAACACAUGCAAGUCGAACGGCAGCACAGUAAGAGCUUGCUCUUACGGGUGGCGAGUGGCGGACGGGUGAGGAGUACAUCGGAAUCUACUUUUUCGUGGGGGAUAACGUAGGGAAACUUACGCUAAUACCGCAUACGACCUACGGGUGAAAGCAGGGGAUCUUCGGACCUUGCGCGAUUGAAUGAGCCGAUGUCGGAUUAGCUAGUUGGCGGGGUAAAGGCCCACCAAGGCGACGAUCCGUAGCUGGUCUGAGAGGAUGAUCAGCCACACUGGAACUGAGACACGGUCCAGACUCCUACGGGAGGCAGCAGUGGGGAAUAUUGGACAAUGGGCGCAAGCCUGAUCCAGCCAUACCGCGUGGGUGAAGAAGGCCUUCGGGUUGUAAAGCCCUUUUGUUGGGAAAGAAAAGCAGCAGGUUAAUACCCCGCUGUUCCGACGGUACCCAAAGAAUAAGCACCGGCUAACUUCGUG
This 492-nucleotide ribosomal RNA is filed under the name uncultured bacterium. Its description in RNAcentral is "partial 16S ribosomal RNA". It matches the Rfam family "Bacterial small subunit ribosomal RNA", at positions 29 to 507 of the family's 1533-position model. The record is from RNAcentral.